GACAAACGCUGGCGGCAUGCCUAACACAUGCAAGUCGAACGGACAGAACAGGGAAGCUUUUCGGAGUGGAACUGGAAAGUUAGUGGCGGAUGGGUGAGUAACGCGUGGACAACCUACCUUGUAAAGGGGAAUAACCUCGAGAAAUCGAAGCUAAUACCCCAUAAUAACCUUGCUUCGCAUGAAGUAAGGAGGAAAGGCGGCCUUAGCGCUGUCGAUACAAGAUGGGUCCGCGUCUGAUUAGCUAGUUGGUGAGGUAAAGGCUCACCAAGGCGACGAUCAGUAGCCGGCCUGAGAGGGUGAACGGCCACAUUGGGACUGAGACACGGCCCAAACUCCUACGGGAGGCAACAGUGGGGAAUCUUCCGCAAUGGGCGAAAGCCUGACGGAGCAAUGCCGCGUGAGUGAAGAAGGCCUUCGGGUUGUAAAACUCUGUCCUUAUCGAAGAGAGAGUGUUGUAGUAACUGACAAUACUAGGACGGUAGAUGAGGAGGAAGCCCCGGCUAACUAUGUG
RNAcentral lists this ribosomal RNA (511 nucleotides) under uncultured bacterium. Its description in RNAcentral is "partial 16S ribosomal RNA". It matches the Rfam family "Bacterial small subunit ribosomal RNA", at positions 28 to 507 of the family's 1533-position model. The record is from RNAcentral.